Molecule: long non-coding RNA, 614 nt
Filed under: Camelus dromedarius (Arabian camel)
Lineage: Eukaryota; Metazoa; Chordata; Mammalia; Artiodactyla; Camelidae
Description: lncRNA (ENSCDRG00005007247.1)
Source: RNAcentral
ACUUCCGGCCUCAGUUUCCGUUGAACGGCGGCAGGUAGUCGGUGUGGACCGUUGCUGCCCGCAGACGCCAGCGAAGGAAGAAGGGUCUUUGAGGCUCAGAGCCACCGAGACCCCAGCUCCUCUUAGCCGACUGGCCCCCCACUAAUCUAUGCGUCGAGGUCCGCGUGCCCCUCCCCUGGGAAAAGCUGAAGUGAGGACGCCUGAAAGAACCGCUGCUGGGCAUGGGACCUUUGAAGAAUAUGCAGAAUGUGGAAAUACCACACCUCUGAGGACAGCAAUGCUUGGCUCCUUGCCUAAGGAGAGAAGCAGGUUGUGUACCGAACAAAGAAGUGCAGAAAACUAAAAGAGGACAUGCUAAGGAAAAGGAUUCAGAAAGUUGUACAGUGAUGCCUUGAAUUCACUACGAGUCAGUGGAGUAUGAAUUACACAGACAAGCAUGAUCACAUAUUUGAUGGAAACUUCAUGUGAUGCAGAUAACUUGGUAAUGGUGGAAAUGUGGAAAAAAACAGCUUGCAGGAAGAUUGCUAUUUCUGUGUCAAGUAUUUUCUGUAUAAAGUAUUUUCAGUUUCAAAACUGAAGCCAUUUGCCAUACAGAAAAAAAAAGUGGAAAAAUU